This 497-nucleotide ribosomal RNA is filed under the name uncultured bacterium. RNAcentral describes it as "partial 16S ribosomal RNA". It matches the Rfam family "Bacterial small subunit ribosomal RNA", at positions 28 to 507 of the family's 1533-position model. The record is from RNAcentral.
GAUGAACGCUGGCGGCGUGCCUAAUACAUGCCAGUCGAGCGAACAGAUGAGGAGCUUGCUCCUCUGACGUUAGCGGCGGACGGGUGAGUAACACGUGGAUAACCUACCUAUAAGACUGGGAUAACUUCGGGAAACCGUAGCUAAUACCGGAUAAUAUUUUGAACCGCAUGGUUCAAUAGUGAAAGACGGUUUUGCUGUCACUUAUAGAUGGAUCCGCGCCGCAUUAGCUAGUUGGUAAGGUAACGGCUUACCAAGGCAACGAUGCAUAGCCGACCUGAGAGGGUGAUCGGCCACACUGGAACUGAGACACGGUCCAGACUCCUACGGGAGGCAGCAGUAGGGAAUCUUCCGCAAUGGGCGAAAGCCUGACGGAGCAACGCCGCGUGAGUGAUGAAGGUCUUCGGAUCGUAAAACUCUGUUAUUAGGGAAGAACAAAUGUGUAAGUAACUAUGCACGUCUUGACGGUACCUAAUCAGAAAGCCACGGCUAACUACGUG